CUUUCUUUCUCUUUCCUUUUCGUCUCCACAGUGCAGACUCCAUAAUCCUAUCUCACAACUCUUUCAUCACUACCAAAUUCACGGAAUAUUACUCAACUGUAUCACAGAUGAGCCUUGAUUCUCAACAAUUAAACAUCCAUCCUGACCCUAUCUCAAAAUCAAAACUCAUGCAUCAUCAGAAAUCAAAAGCAAACCCUUCUUCGUUACCCUAGAUCUAGUUUCUUUGCUCCUGAAAUUCAAAUCAGGCCUUCAUCUCAUACUCUAGAAGAUGCAGGGACAUUUAAAGAUGAUGAUAAUGAUAUAUGGUCGAAUUACUUACUUUUUUCUAUUUAGGAUUGAUUAAUCUAAUUCUGAAUGUAGGGUCUGUUCAAAUUUCUGAAAUUUUUACUAAUUUUUAUUAUCAUUUACUUAGAUUUUGCAGACUAAAGAAGAAAUCAAUGGAGUAUUUUGCUAGAUUAGCGAAUAGGUUUUGUUCAAGUUUCAAUUAGCGAAUAGGAUUUUUCUUCUAGACUCUCUUUAUACCAUGUAAUCUAAGCUUUAUUAGUGUACGAUCCGAAAUUGGUUUAGGGUUUUUUAAUUCUGGAUUUAUUUUAUUUGGAAACCCUAACUUAUGGCAUAAUGGUGGUGGAGUUUGAACCUCAGCCUCCUAUCUUAAUUAGGUAGUUUUCUUUAAGUAUUAAAUUGUGUGAUAUUUAUUUGCUAACUUAUUCUUAGGAUUAACAUGUAUGUAUGGGUUUUUUUCUUCAAUAUCUAUCCCAACAAGAAUCUUUUCUCUUGAAGAAUGAAAGAAAAAUAGACUGGUUGAUUCACACUUUGAGUAUGCUAAAUUGUGAUUUUGGAUGAAUAAGCUUGUAUGUAGUUGUUGGACCAUAAAUUUCUGGUUGAGUCAGUUAGAUUGAUAUUGAUAUGGUACCAGGAUAUUAAAUAGUCUCAUCUUACAGAUGAAUUUCUUUCUGACUUUUGUAUAUGCAGAAUUGCGGUUGCAGAACUGGCAUCUUGCUCAAGAAAAUAGUAAGAUGUGUGAAUGAUCAGUUUAUUACCACAUUCCUUCUCAUACAAUUUCAAUUGCUUCAGAAUACUAAAUUAACUCUUUGUUUGAUGUUUGGUGAGAACUGAUUGUGUAUAGAUGAAUAGAGCUUGGGAUGGUCUUGGAGAAGCUCUUGAAGGUUGCAUCAACAAUAAGAUUCAUGGUUCAGGAAUUAAACUGUUGGAUCGUGGAUAUUCAAAAAAUCAGUAUCGAAGGAUGUUAUGAAUGGUGACCUUAUGUAUCCAACAAGUUUGGGAGUGAAACUGUUGGCUGGGAAUGUUUUGGAGACGCACUCUAUGGUGGAUAUGGGCAGGAGAUAACCUUUUCAUUUUCUUGAAUUCAUGAUGUUGUGUAGUCAUUCCUUGAUUGUUCAUUUAUUUCUUUACACAUGUCACCUUGCACUUCUUUCCAAGUUUUCAUUAAUGCAAGAUGUAGUAAUUAAGCUUCUAUUACUCAUGCCAGAUUUCUAUGUGGUGUUUUCUAGGUUGUGGAGCUUGAUUUUCUGUAUUCAAGUGAUGGUACCCGUAGAUGGUGGGAUAACGUUUACCGGAUAACUGUUGUAGCUGCUACUUGGGAUCAGACUGCUUUCAUCUUGAGUGUGCCCAAGCGUAAAUCUAGAUGAAACCCAAGAGACCCUAAGGACAUCUGCAUUUCCAAAUACCUAAGCUAAGGGUGGUAGCAGAUCUUCAUAUAGGGAAACCAUUGCAAGAGUUGCAGCUGGAUCUCAUUCCAAGAAAAUGUUAAAUCUAUAUUGCGCAACUGAGAUGAGUCUUGCGCUCCAUGCUUUCUAUACAAGGAAACAGACUCGCCGGGAAAGUUCAAUUUGGUGUUAGUCUGAUGCAGGCACUUGCUGUUUUAGAUCUUUGCUGCAAGUUGUUAGGGGACCAAUUCCUUCACAUCUUGGCAAUUUUUUCUUAUACGGGUAAAUUGUAACUAUAUGCCCAGACUCAAUGUUGGAAGUAGCAGCCGAUCUCCGUCGACAAGUAGCUGGCCGACUCCCUUGCUCAUUACUGUUGCAGGUGUACACACCCUUCUGCGAGUCCACUUACUUCUUCUAAUCCAGUUUCAAGGAGUGAAUUUUUUGUUCUCUCAAUGACUUGUGUGCAUGAAUUCAAGAUUUGACUACUUUUUUGUUUUUUUAUAUACCAAAGUGUCAACUGAAUUAAGUUAUGAAUUGUGCAACUAAUAUGAUGAUUUUAUUUGAAUGGUCAUUUGAGUAAUUUGAGUU
This is a long non-coding RNA of Papaver somniferum (opium poppy), 2255 nucleotides long. RefSeq lists it as uncharacterized. Lineage: Eukaryota; Viridiplantae; Streptophyta; Magnoliopsida; Ranunculales; Papaveraceae. The record is from RefSeq and is a predicted model, not a curated record. The transcript has 6 exons.